RNAcentral lists this ribosomal RNA (262 nucleotides) under uncultured archaeon. Its description in RNAcentral is "partial 16S ribosomal RNA". It matches the Rfam family "Archaeal small subunit ribosomal RNA", at positions 748 to 1009 of the family's 1478-position model. The record is from RNAcentral.
UAGCCGUAAACGAUACUCGCUAGGUGUCGGCCACGGUGCGACCGUUGUCGGUGCCGUAGGGAAGCCGUGAAGCGAGCCACCUGGGAAGUACGGCCGCAAGGCUGAAACUUAAAGGAAUUGGCGGGGGGAGCACAACAACGGGUGGAGCCUGCGGUUUAAUUGGAUUCAACGCCGGAAAUCUUACCGGGACCGACAGCAACAUGAAGGCCAAGCUGAAGACUUUGCCGGAUUAGCUGAGAGGUGGUGCAUGGCGUAGUCGUGU